GAGUUUGAUCCUGGCUCAGAACGAACGCUGGCGGCGUGGAUAAGACAUGCAAGUCGAGCGCGACAUACAGGGUAGCAAUAUUCUGUAUGUUGAGCGGCGAAAGGGUGCGUAACACGUGGGCAAUUUGCCAUAAAGUUGGGGAUAACUCGCUGAAAGGCGAGCUAAUACCGAAUGUGAUUUUUGAGAGGCAUCUCUUGGAAAUUAAAGUUGGGGACCGUAAGGCCUGACGCUUUAUGAUGAGCCCGCGGCCUAUCAGCUAGUUGGUGAGGUAACGGCCCACCAAGCCUGCGAUCAGUAACUGGUGUGAGAGCACGACCAGUCACACGGGCACUGAGACACGGGCCCGACUCCUACGGGAGGCAGCAGUAAGGAAUAUUGGUCAAUGGACGCAAGUCUGAACCAGCCAUGCCGCGUGAAGGAUGAAGGUCCUCUGGAUUGUAAACUUCUUUUAUCUGGGACGAAAUCACGUUAGUCGUAGCGUGUUGACGGUACCAGAGGAAUAAGCACCGGCUAACUCCGUGCCAGCAGCCGCGGUAAUACGGAGGGUGCAAGCGUUAUCCGGAUUCACUGGGUUUAAAGGGUGCGUAGGAGGGCAGGUAAGUCAGUGGUGAAAUCCCCGUGCUUAACAUGGGAACUGCCGUUGAUACUAUCUGUCUUGAAUCCCGUGGAGGUGAGCGGAAUAUGUCAUGUAGCGGUGAAAUGCUUAGAUAUGACAUAGAACACCGAUUGCGAAGGCAGCUCGCUACACGGGUAUUGACUCUGAGGCACGAAAGCGUGGGGAUCAAACAGGAUUAGAUACC
This 800-nucleotide ribosomal RNA is filed under the name uncultured bacterium. Its description in RNAcentral is "bacterial SSU rRNA". It matches the Rfam family "Bacterial small subunit ribosomal RNA", at positions 9 to 786 of the family's 1533-position model. The record is from RNAcentral.